CGAUAGGGGGAGAGAAGAGGAAGAGAUAUCUCAUAAUCUCAUCUCAAAUCUCAAAUUAUUUCUGUUGGCAAGUGACAUCAAUUGUAUUUUUUAGUGAUAAAGCCUCUAAGUUUAAUCUGAUCCGCGCAGAAUUAAAAUGUUCAUUAUUUCUUUUGUAAUGAUGAUCUUAAUUGGCACCACUCCAUUAUAUAAGUGUGAAUACUGUAUUAAUCUUAUUACUUGUUAACCUCAAGAUGUCCAGGUAUAAGUAUUCGUUAUCGUUUUGCAGUGAAUUUAUCAAUAAUUUCAAGGAGCUAAAUACUCUAAAUGCAGAGUAAUGGCCCACAGUCGUUGUUCGCCUCUGGAUUUAUUCAGAAUUCAUUUUCCCCAAUCGUUGCGGUAAUUUGCAGCCCCUCUGUGGAUCAUAUCUGCCAAAAAAACAACCUGGGAUUCAUCGAGUUACUGCAACCAUUCUGGGCCGUCUAACUUCUGAAGUGAAACUCAAAGAACCAUCAGGCAGUCUCAUCUCUGUGAAGAAUCUCCGAGUUGCUUUUGUGGAUGUAAAUGCAAGACCCCCUCAACCAACACUUGCUCGUAAAUUUCUGAAUGAGUCAGUCAGUUCGCUUUGUGAUGAAAAACAAACUAGACUUGAAAUAGGUUAGUGCACCUUCAAUGCUUUAUUUCUAGAUAAGUAACAAGGUGGAGAAAUGGUGCUGGGUCCUCACCAUUUUGCGGGGAAAUCAAAGCCAAGAAUUUCUAAAACUUAUAAUUAGAGUUAAAAAUAAAUUUUUUUAGCUCUAAUGAGUAAUUCAUUUUUUCGGGUUUUCCUCGUUUUGUUAUGAGAGUUGUUCAGCAGCGACGGUAGAUAGCGCAAGAAUCACACUUUUGUGUCAUGCCUCGGGUCAUAUCCAUGACAGCUUUUAAUGCCGUCUUGGAUUUUGUGGCAUGUUAAGUUGGGUUCACUGACUAGUGUGAUCUGCUGACUAGGUCUGAAAAGACCCAAACCGGUAUAAAUCUCUCAGCGUGACUCCAACUUAAUAUUCCAAUGCAAACUGCCUGAGCUUAACUCUUUCCGCCCCUCAGUUUUGCACUGGUACUCAUUAGAGUUAAAAAAGUUUAUUUUUGACUCUAGUUAUAAUUUUUGGAAAUUCUUGGCUUUGAUUUCCCAGCGAAAUGGUGUGGACCCAGCACCGUUUCUCCACCUUGUUACAUACAGUUCGGGCCACUUCAUAGUGUUUUUUUUCUCUCAUUUCAAGUAAGUAUCACGCUUCCUAUUACUAGAAGUGAAAUUAUGACUGCACCAAUGAAGAGAAGAAUUGGAGUCGGGAGGAGCUGUCUUAGGGAACCUGGAAUCUCAAUUCUAAAACACUAUUUGCCAACAAACUUUUAAUCACUUUCAUGAAGUCCUCAAUGUCUUUUCAAUACUGUCAAUGAAUAUCAAUCAAUAAGUACCUCAUCUCUUACUGCCCAAAAUCAGUAUUUCCAAUUUUUUGUAUUGUAAGGGAAUGGCUGUAAAAGAAAGAGUAGCAACUGCAUUUUUAUGAUCUUCCUAAUUAUCUGCAAAUCAAAUCAGAAUAACUCAAAACAUAUGAAAUUCACAUGAGCCAAGUGCUGGAUAUAUCAGGAUAUGAAUAAAAAAAAGAACCAACUGGGUGUCUAACUUGAAAAUGGCUGGACUGAGGAACCUUAUACCUCAAUCGUGUUUUUCAAAAGACCCUCUGUCAUUUACCUUCAAGAUGAGAACAAAACAAACAAGUUAACUGCAUGACCAUGCUUGAAUUCAAAGGCAAGCAACAGAGGCAGUUGCUUACUUAUAGCAGCAAAUUCUGUAGGGGAAAAAACCAUUUUUAGAAUACUUUAAAAGUAACAACCUGCAGGUGAGAUUGAGGAUAAGUAAAUCUAAAUUUUCUGAAAUAGAUAUUUUGAAUUUUUUUUUUUAUUUAUUUUGUUUUUUUUAUAAUUGAAUUUUCUUGAAACUUGCCAAGAUAGCACCCCCCCCCCCCCCUCUACUCUCCACAUGACACAUAUUUCUCUUGCCAGAAUUAUGACAGGGGUAGAAAAUUCUACUUGCCUCGGGGGUCAAAAAGUCGAAUCUAGGGAUGUAAAUCACUUUACAUUUUUUCAGAAAAUUCUCUAAACAGAGAAGAAAAUUUUUGGAAAUUCUCAAUCCUUAAUCACUUUGAUCAUUUUACCAAUUAAAGUAUGAAAUAUGAUGGGAAGUCUGCAGUGUCGCAAACUGAGGUACAUUGCUUCCAAGUUUAAGCAUUAACUCCAGCUAUUGUCUAAAAAGAAUUUUUUUCUUGU
This 2283-nucleotide long non-coding RNA is filed under the name Bemisia tabaci. RNAcentral describes it as "lncRNA ENSSWEETPG001160". Lineage: Eukaryota; Metazoa; Arthropoda; Insecta; Hemiptera; Aleyrodidae. The record is from RNAcentral.